RNAcentral lists this ribosomal RNA (440 nucleotides) under uncultured bacterium. Its description in RNAcentral is "partial 16S ribosomal RNA". It matches the Rfam family "Bacterial small subunit ribosomal RNA", at positions 338 to 795 of the family's 1533-position model. The record is from RNAcentral.
CCUACGGGAGACUGCAGUGGGGAAUAUUGCACAAUGGGGGAAACCCUGAUGCAGCGAAGCCGCGUGAGUGAAGAAGUAAUUCGUUAUGGAAAGCUCUAUCAGCAGGGAAGAAAAUGACGGUACCUGAGUAAGAAGCCCCGACUAACUACGUGCCAGCGGCCGCGGUAAUACGUAGGGGGCAAGCGUUAUCCGGAUUUACUGGGUGUAAAGGGAGCAUAGACGGCAGUGAAAGUCUGGAGUGAAAGGCGGGGGCUCAACCCCCGUACUGCUCUGGAAACUGUACGGCUGGAGUGAAGGAGAGGUAAGUGGAAUGCCUAGUGUAGCGGUGAAAUGCGUAGAUAUUAGGCGGAACACCAGUGGCGAAGGCGGCUUACUGGACUGUAACUGACGUUGAGGCUCGAAAGCGUGGGGAGCAAACAGGAUUAGAUACCCGUGUAGUC